RNAcentral lists this long non-coding RNA (835 nucleotides) under Amborella trichopoda. Its description in RNAcentral is "long non-coding RNA (ATRI_LNC005156)". The record is from RNAcentral. Lineage: Eukaryota; Viridiplantae; Streptophyta; Magnoliopsida; Amborellales; Amborellaceae.
GGUGUAAGAACCCAAAGCACCUAUUCUCGGACGCAACCAACCUCUGACUAUUCCACUCUGAUUCCUUCGCUCUGCCCGUGAAAGUCUUCUUUCUUCGAGUGAGAGAAGAGAAGAUUCGCACUGGCUUUAUGGCUCAUACGUCCUCGAAAGAAAAAAAAUUGAAGGGGAAGGAAUGCUUCUAACAAAGGUACGCUCUAAUCGCUCCCCGCUCUAAUCGCUCCCCUUUAUUAUUAUUAGUAAGAUAGGGUGGUUGAGAAGCAGGUCGUUCGUGUACUUAUUGUACAAUAAUACCUACGACUAUCAAAGGAACUAAUCUCACAAGCAACCAACCUAAUAAAGGGGCAAAAACACCUCUAACGACCACGCUUUUUCUCUUCCUUCAGUAGGCUCUGCCUCAUAGCAUAGCCGGACUCAGAAAUGCAAGUCUUUGAUCAAACCUAGCAAAUAAUGGCAUAAACAAUGGAUUCUCACUCGGGGCUCAACUUUCCAUAAUCCACUGUUAGGGACCCUCUAUUUUCUCAUCCACCUUCUUUCCCUUGGUACGGUACCUUCAUUGCACAUUUGUUCUCAAACCCUUCUUUUCAGCCGUCAAAAUGGGCCUUGGCCUCAUAGCCGCCAUACCUAGACGAAUCUGACUCCUCUUCAAAAAGAGAGAGCAGUUGUUCCUUUUUGAAGGGCAGAAUAAGACUUGCAAAGGUUUUUUGUGCUACUAGAUUGAAGAAGUCGAUCGACGGUCAGAGGCCCCUUGGUACUUUAGCCCAAAGUCUUGCCUUGACUUACGAGCAAGCCGAACCCCCCCAUCGCAACACCUACCCUUUUUUUCUUCCUGAGGUGG